This 351-nucleotide unclassified non-coding RNA is filed under the name soil metagenome. Its description in RNAcentral is "partial contains 5.8S ribosomal RNA, internal transcribed spacer 2, and large subunit ribosomal RNA". The stretch from base 1 to 120 matches the Rfam family "5.8S ribosomal RNA", at positions 35 to 154 of the family's 154-position model. The record is from RNAcentral.
GAUGAAGAACGUAGCGAAAUGCGAUAAGUAAUGUGAAUUGCAGAAUUCAGUGAAUCAUCGAAUCUUUGAACGCACAUUGCGCCCGCCAGUAUUCUGGCGGGCAUGCCUGUUCGAGCGUCAUUACAACCCUCAGGCCCCCGGGCCUGGCGUUGGGGAUCGGCGGAGCCCCCCGUGGGCACACGCCGUCCCCCAAAUACAGUGGCGGUCCCGCCGCAGCUUCCAUCGCGUAGUAGCUAACACCUCGCGACUGGAGAGCGGCGCGGCCACGCCGUAAAACACCCAACUCUUCUGAAGUUGACCUCGAAUCAGGUAGGAAUACCCGCUGAACUUAAGCAUAUCAAUAAGCGAGGA